RNAcentral lists this ribosomal RNA (251 nucleotides) under uncultured bacterium. RNAcentral's name for it is "partial 16S ribosomal RNA". It matches the Rfam family "Bacterial small subunit ribosomal RNA", at positions 75 to 339 of the family's 1533-position model. The record is from RNAcentral.
AGAGCUUGCUUUUCAUUGAACUAGUGGCAGACGGGUGAGUAAUACAUGGGAAUCUACCUUGUAGUAGGGGAUGAUCACUAGAAAUGGUUGAUUAAUACCUUAUAUUGCCGAUAGGUGAAAGAUUUAUCGCUACAAGAUGAGCCCAUGCAAGAUUAGCUAGUUGGUAAGGUAAUGGCUUACCAAGGCUUCGAUCUUUAGUUGGUCUAAGAGGAUGAUCAGCCACACUGGAACUGAGACACGGUCCAGACUCC